GAUGAACGCUAGCUACAGGCUUAACACAUGCAAGUCGAGGGGCAUCAUGACUGAGGUUUACCUUAGUUGAUGGCGACCGGCGAAUGGGUGAGUAACACGUAUCCAACCUGCCCGUUACUGGAGGAUAGCCCUCCGAAAGGAGAAUUAAUACUCCAUGUUGUGCUGAAUUCGCAUGUUUUCGGCACUAAAGAUUCAUCGGUAACGGAUGGGGAUGCGUCCGAUUAGGUAGUAGGCGGGGUAACGGCCCACCUAGCCUUCGAUCGGUAGGGGUUCUGAGAGGAAGGUCCCCCACAUUGGAACUGAGACACGGUCCAAACUCCUACGGGAGGCAGCAGUGAGGAAUAUUGGUCAAUGGGCGAAGAGCCUGAACCAGCCAAGUAGCGUGCAGGAUGACGGCCCUAUGGGUUGUAAACUGCUUUUAUAAGGGAAUAAAGUGAGUCUCGUGAGACUUUUUGCAUGUACCUUAUGAAUAAGGACCGGCUAAUUCCGUG
This 491-nucleotide ribosomal RNA is filed under the name uncultured bacterium. RNAcentral's name for it is "bacterial SSU rRNA". It matches the Rfam family "Bacterial small subunit ribosomal RNA", at positions 28 to 507 of the family's 1533-position model. The record is from RNAcentral.